Molecule: long non-coding RNA, 2445 nt
Filed under: Capsella rubella
Lineage: Eukaryota; Viridiplantae; Streptophyta; Magnoliopsida; Brassicales; Brassicaceae
Description: long non-coding RNA (CRUB_LNC002025)
Source: RNAcentral
UAUUAUCAGCCAUAGGAUCCUCAAAGAGCCCCAUUGUGAAUUUGACUCUCAAGAUUCUCUCCACAGCAUCGUCGAUUCUGCUCAUCGGGAUGAGUUUUCGCUUUACCUGACUGGUUAGUUCGUCGAUUAACUCUGUCAAGUUUGAUGAACCCAUGAUCUGCACCCGAUGAUUUUAGUCACAUCAAGCGUUUUUAUAUCUUUAAAACUUAAGAACCAUUUCAAGACUGACCAUAUCGAGUCCAGCAGUGAUAGCAGCAUAAACCGAAUGUGAAUAGUUAGCACCAAGAGGUGUGGUGAUCUGAUCAACACCUAGAUAAUCUGAGAUGACAAUGCCCUGCAAAUAGAUUUAAAAUCGUUUAUAUUUUUCUGCUUUGCUUAAGCCAGAUCUUUUAAUGAUUAAAGUUACCCUGAACUUGAGCUUGUUCUUUAGGAAACCCGUGAUAAGUUUCUUAUUGGCAUGCAUUUUCAACCCGUUCAAGGACGAGUAGGAUACCAUAACUGUUGCAACUCCCUUGUUUACCGCAUCAUAAUAAGCCGGCAUGUGAAUUCCGAGCAAUCCAUUUGCACUAGUAACCGUGUUGUUUGCGUUCAUACCUCUCAAUGUACCUCCAUCUCCAACAAAGUGUUUAGCGCAGGCUGCCACUUUUGUCCUGCAAGUUUACCUAGUUAUCUAUUUAACUCCAUCAAUCUUUGCUUCUCUAGAUAUUCAUUAAAGUGUACUUACUUUCCAGCGACGAAAGGAACACCCGUUUGAUUAGUGGGAAGGUCACCUUGCAAACCGGGUAUGAUCUCAGUCAUCUGUUGAACUAGUCUGUGAUCCUCACUAUAGCUCUCAUAGCACCUUCCCCAUCUAGGGUCCCUACACACCUGCUCAAAGUGAUUAUUACAAUAACUAUGUUUCUGCUUUUCUUAAGAUCAUAUUUACUUACUGCAAUACAUGGGGCAAAGACAUAUUGGAUUCCUGUUGCUCUAACUUCAAGCGCAGUUGCUUCCCCAAUUCUCUUCACAAGGCCUGGGUCCCUAACAGAUGAAUAUAACAGAACAGUUAAGAAACAACGUUUUGGGUCUAUCUAUUCAUUUGGAAUAGGAUUCUCUAUAAGAACUUGCCUGGUGGCUCCGAGGCCUAUGUUAUGAGGGAAAAUGGUGGCGUUGUACGCAUUGUUGUGACCAUGAACAGCAUCGAUUCCGUAAAUUAUGGGAAUCCCUAAGCGGGUCGAAAGCGCUUUCUUUUGGAUCUCAUUCACCAUGUUCACCCAAGCUUCAGGACUGGCAUUUGGCGUCGGCACACUCCCUCCCCCGCUAAACACACUUCCUGCAAACAUAAUUCCGAAACAGUUGAGUGUUCAUACAUGUUUUAACAAUGUUGUGACGGUCCAGAGUCAUACCGAUGAAGUACUUUCGAAUGACUUCGGCUGUGGCAUUGACUCGUUCCACCUGAAUCAUCUGCCCUAUUUUCUCUUCAAGUGUCAUACGGCUCAUCAGGCUCUUGAUCCUGACUCCCAAUGGCUCUUUCGGGUCCUUAUACUUUGCGCUCGCGAGUGGUAGUUUAUUAGCUGCCACGGCACAACAGAGUAGCAGAAGGCCUAACCUCUGUAGCAAGUAACUCAAACUCCCCAUGUCAGCCCUCUAUUUCACUCUCGACAGCUGCAGAUGACUAAAUAUAAAAUAGUCAAGAGUGAGAUUUUUGAUUAACCAGUUGAGAAGGGGAAGACGAUCAAGCUAUAUGAUGACGACAACAACGAUGAGUCGAUGAGUAUUGAUGAAUAUAACAAUUUCCGAAUGAGACAAGCAACACUAAGAGGUUGAGAUUUUCGUUGUUGUCUCGACUGAGACAGGAACGUUCUGAGGUUGAGAUUUUGUCGAUAUGCCUAUACUUGGGUUUGUUAUGCUUGGGAGGUUAUGUAGAGACGUGUGAUAUCAUUACCGUGACUACUGACUAGUAACAAUCAAAAAAACAAAUCAGAUUCUCUCCCUUUUUUGAAAAUUAUAUGAUAAAAUAAAAUCUUAGUAGCUAAAGAAAAUAAUCAUCUUUAUAUAAUAGUUUCCAUAUACAUAUAACUGCAGUUUAUUUGUUUCUUUUCUUAGUGCAAUUUAGAUACUUUUCUUCUUUACUUGUUGAGGUGUUUCAUAGAAGUAUGUUGGAUUUAAUACUUCAAAAAGAUUCAUCCCUUUUAGAUGAAUAUUUUUUUUCUUGCAAGUCUAUGUUAAAUUUGUCAUUGUCACCUUUGCAAAUGCGCACCUGCAUAUGUCCGGACACGCCUGCAUGUGGCAUUGUCUCUCACCUUGGAUUUAUUACCCAAAUGUUAACUAUCUUACUAAACUGAAAUACAGGUUCACAAGGGCAAACAAGAAAAAGCUGGACCAAAUGAUCGAUGCUUUAUAACACACUAGCUUUGUAGACAGACAAUCUCAAAGUUUCAACCUUCAUAUGAGCUUUAAAUCCAC